Molecule: small nuclear RNA, 107 nt
Organism: Bison bison bison
Lineage: Eukaryota; Metazoa; Chordata; Mammalia; Artiodactyla; Bovidae
Source: Ensembl
GUACUCACUUCAGUAGCACAUGCACUAAAAUUGGAAUGAUACAAAGAAAAUUAACAUGGUCCCCACUCAAGGAAAACAGUUGAUACCAUCUUCAGAUCUUCAUUUAG